This 446-nucleotide ribosomal RNA is filed under the name uncultured bacterium. Its description in RNAcentral is "partial 16S ribosomal RNA". It matches the Rfam family "Bacterial small subunit ribosomal RNA", at positions 338 to 795 of the family's 1533-position model. The record is from RNAcentral.
CCUACGGGCGGCAGCAGUCGAGAAUCAUUCACAAUGGGGGAAACCCUGAUGGUGCGACGCCGCGUGGAGGAAUGCAGGUCUUCGGAUUGUAAACCCCUUUCAUGUGGGAGCAAAUUAAAAAGAUAGUACCACAAGAGGAAGAGACUGCUAACUCUGUGCCAGCAGCCGCGGUAAUACAGAGGUCUCAAUCGUUGUUCGGAGUCACUGGGCGUAAAGCGUGCGUAGGCUGUUUCGUAAGUCGUGUGUGAAAGGUGCGGGCUCAACCGGCGGACGGCACAUGAUACUGCGAGACUAGAGUACAGGAGGGGGAAGCGGAAUUCGCGGUGUAGCAGUGAAAUGCGUAGAUAUCGAGAGGAACACUCGUGGCGAAGGCGGGUUCCUGGACAUUAACUGACGCUGAGGCACGAAGGCCAGGGGAGCGAAAGGGAUUAGAUACCCCAGUAGUC